RNAcentral lists this ribosomal RNA (253 nucleotides) under uncultured bacterium. Its description in RNAcentral is "partial 16S ribosomal RNA". It matches the Rfam family "Bacterial small subunit ribosomal RNA", at positions 524 to 776 of the family's 1533-position model. The record is from RNAcentral.
UACGAAGGGGGCUAGCGUUGUUCGGAAUCACUGGGCGUAAAGCGCACGUAGGCGGAUCUUUAAGUCAGGGGUGAAAUCCCGAGGCUCAACCUCGGAACUGCCUUUGAUACUGGGGAUCUCGAGUCCGGAAGAGGUAAGUGGAACUGCGAGUGUAGAGGUGAAAUUCGUAGAUAUUAGGAAGAACACCAGUGGCGAAGGCGGCUCACUGGCCCGGUACUGACGCUGAGGCGCGAAAGCGUGGGGAGCAAACAGG